ACCUCCCUCUCUACUCAUAUGCUAAUGCCACUGCUGAAAUCCUCUCAUCCCAGAUCUCUCUCAUUUUUGUUAAACCUCUAUCUCAUCUCUGUUAAACCUACCUCUAUACUUAUACACUAACGACGAACGACAGUGAACACCAAAUGACAAACGAUGAAAAAAAACUCCUCACCUACUGGCUCGAUGCCUCUCAUACGCUAACGAUGUCGAAAGCUCAUCAUUACGUACUAGAAGAAAAUGAAUCUGAGAUUAAAAAAUGGCUUCUUCUUCUACUAACAAUAGCAAUAUAAGAUUAAAACCAAGAUUGUGUGAUUGUGGGAGAACAACUGCCAUGUAUAUUGUACAAACCAAUGAGAAUGGAAAUCAAGGGCGUUUGUUUUUUAUUUGCCCAUCAAAAUAUAGUAAUAAGGAACCACUACAAUUACUUCAAGUUCGCAGAUAAUGAUGAUGACGACAUUACCUCCACAAUCUGUUCCAAUGCUAGUCCUUGGAAAGCUAUAAGAACAAAAGAAUUUAACGAUCUAAGGACAAGGCUUUGUGAGGUGGACAAUGAAAUUUAUGAGCAUGGUAGAAGGCUUAAAAGGAUAGAGAAGAAUUUCAAGGCAAUGAUUUAUGUCAUUGUAUUUUGUGUCUUUUUGUACUUUAUCAUCUAAAUGGCUAACUUGUUAGGUUUUGGCCAAUUUCAUGAAUGUAAUCAAAAACUUGUUUUGUAUUUUGUGUAUUUUUCUACUUUAUCAGCUAAAUGACUGACUUGUUAGGUUUUCUAGAAUUUCAUGAAUGUUAUAAAAAAAACUUGUUCUGUA
Non-coding RNA from Camellia sinensis, 803 nucleotides. NCBI's taxonomy places the organism in Eukaryota, Viridiplantae, Streptophyta, Magnoliopsida, Ericales, Theaceae. The record is from RefSeq and is a predicted model, not a curated record.